Molecule: ribosomal RNA, 492 nt
Filed under: uncultured bacterium
Lineage: Bacteria
Description: partial 16S ribosomal RNA
Rfam family: Bacterial small subunit ribosomal RNA
Source: RNAcentral
AGUGAACGCUGGCGGCAUGCCUAACACAUGCAAGUCGAACGGCAGCACAUUAAUCGCUUGCCCUAACGGGUGGCGAGUGGCGGACGGGUGAGGUUUACAUCGGAAUCUACUUUUUCGUGGGGGACUACUUAGGGAAACUUACGCUAACACCGCAUACGAUCUACGGGUGAAAGCAGUGGAUCUUCGUUCCUUGCGUGAUUGAAUGAGCCGAUGCCGGAUUAGCUAGUUGGCGGGGUAAAGGCCCACCAAGGCGACGAUCAGUAGCUGGUCUGAGAGGAUGAUCGGCCACACUGGAACUGAGACACGGGCCAGACUCCUACGGGAGGCAGCAGUGGGGAAUAUUGGGCAAUGGGAGCAAGCCUGAUCCAGCAAUGCCGCGUGGGUGAAGAAGGCAUUCGGGUUGUAAAGCACUUUUGUUAGGGAAGAAAAGCAGCAGGUUAAUAACCAGAAGUUCUGACGGUACCCAAAGAAUAAGCACCGGCUAACUUCGUG